This 74-nucleotide ribosomal RNA is filed under the name Salegentibacter sp. 24. The record is from RNAcentral. Lineage: Bacteria; Pseudomonadati; Bacteroidota; Flavobacteriia; Flavobacteriales; Flavobacteriaceae.
AUUCCGAACAGAGAAGUUAAGCCCGUUAGCGCAGAUGGUACUGCUAUUUGUGGGAGAGUAUGUCACCGCCUUUU